UUGAACGCUGGCGGCAUGCCUUACACAUGCAAGUCGAACGGCAGCACGGGUGCUUGCACCUGGUGGCGAGUGGCGAACGGGUGAGUAAUACAUCGGAACAUGUCCUGUAGUGGGGGAUAGCCCGGCGAAAGCCGGAUUAAUACCGCAUACGAUCUACGGAUGAAAGCGGGGGACCUUCGGGCCUCGCGCUAUAGGGUUGGCCGAUGGCUGAUUAGCUAGUUGGUGGGGUAAAGGCCUACCAAGGCGACGAUCAGUAGCUGGUCUGAGAGGACGACCAGCCACACUGGGACUGAGACACGGCCCAGACUCCUACGGGAGGCAGCAGUGGGGAAUUUUGGACAAUGGGCGAAAGCCUGAUCCAGCAAUGCCGCGUGCGUGAAGAAGGCCUUCGGGUUGUAAAGCACUUUUGUCCGGAAAGAAAUCCUUGGCUCUAAUACAGUCGGGGGAUGACGGUACCGGAAGAAUAAGCACCGGCUAACUACGUG
RNAcentral lists this ribosomal RNA (485 nucleotides) under uncultured bacterium. Its description in RNAcentral is "partial 16S ribosomal RNA". It matches the Rfam family "Bacterial small subunit ribosomal RNA", at positions 30 to 507 of the family's 1533-position model. The record is from RNAcentral.